UGGGGGAUAUUGCACAAUGGCGAAAGCCUGAUGCAGCGACGCCGCGUGGGGGAUGAAGGCCUUCGGGUUGUAAACUUCUUUUGCUCUGAACAAGGCAUGCUAAUGGGUGUGUUGAGUGUAGGGGUUGAUUAGCGCCGGCUAACUACGUGCCAGCAGCCGCGGUAAUACGUAGGGCGCGAGCGUUGUCCGGAAUUAUUGGGCGUAAAGGGCUUGUAGGUGGCUGGUUGCGUCUGUCGUGAAAGCUCAUGGCUUAACUGUGGGUUUGCGGUGGGUACGGGCUGGCUUGAGUGCAGUAGGGGAGGCUGGAAUUCCUGGUGUAGCGGUGGAAUGCGCAGAUAUCAGGAGGAAUACCGGUGGCGAAGGCGGGUCUCUGGGCUGUUACUGACACUGAGGAGCGAAAGCAUGGGGAGCGAACAGG
This 418-nucleotide ribosomal RNA is filed under the name bacterium. RNAcentral describes it as "partial 16S ribosomal RNA". It matches the Rfam family "Bacterial small subunit ribosomal RNA", at positions 355 to 776 of the family's 1533-position model. The record is from RNAcentral.